RNAcentral lists this long non-coding RNA (870 nucleotides) under Rosa chinensis. Its description in RNAcentral is "sRNA RchiOBHm_Chr6g0249671". The record is from RNAcentral. Lineage: Eukaryota; Viridiplantae; Streptophyta; Magnoliopsida; Rosales; Rosaceae.
CGCGUUUCUUCAAUCCCUCGUAGUACCUCUUCUGCCAAUCCUGCAACGGAUCAAAUCCCCCAACAACCACAAUCGUCGCCGGAAAAUCCACACCCGAAAUAUCCACCGCGUUCGGCCCGAACACAUUCACCACCGGAUGGUCCCGAUCCGACCCCUCCGGCAAAAACGCCUUCCACAUCCAGUCCGUCCGCUCUAUGUUCACCAGCGGCACACUCUUCAGUCUCGUCUCCGAUUCCGUCCGCUCCUCUCCACCGAAAAACGGCUGAAUCGCCAACAUUCCGACCACCUGCAGCUCCCGAAACUCGUGCCCGCUCGCUCUGAUCGCCACUUGGUGCGCUAUGUUCCCGCCGGCGCUGUCCCCUGCCAGAAAGCAUUGCCCGAGAUUCGCGCCCUCGAACAAGCUGCUUUGACUGUCGUCGAUGAACUUGAGGACGUCGAAACCGUCGUCGUACUGGCACGGAUACCGAUGCUCCGGCGCGAGGCGGUAGUUGACGGAGACGACGACGGCGGGGAGCUCCCGAGCGAGGCGUUGACAGAAGUCGUCGUAGGGUUUUGAAGCGGCGGACAUGAAGACGAACCCGCCGCCGUGGAAGUAGACGAUGAUGGGGAGCUUGGUGGUAGCGGCGGUGGGAGUGUAGAGGCGGAACCAGAGGUUGCGGGAAGGGUCGGCGGCGACGACGACGUCGGAGCUCUUGAUGUUUUUGUGAGGUUUUGUUAAGGGAGAGAGUUUGUAGUCGAACAAGUUAAAGAGGCAACGGUUGACGGUGAAGUUUGAGCGGCGAGAGGCGUCGACUGCAAAGGAAGCGGCGGAGACGAAGAGGCGGACGGUCCAUGGCAGAUCUGGUGUGCUUUGGAUUUCGGCCAUCUCCC